CCCGCUGAACUUAAGCACAUUAGUAAGCGGAGGAAGAGAAACUAACAAGGAUUUCCCGAGUAAUGGCGAAUGAAAGGGAAAGAGCCCAGCACCGAAUCCUACGGCAUCUUGCUGAAUGGACCUGUGGUGUUAAGGUAAGCCUUUCCGACGGUUUGUGCUGAUCUAAUUCCCCUUGAGGGGGGCCAUCGCCCAUUGCGGGUGCUAGGCCCAUUGAACGGCCUUUCUGUCGGUUAGCGCUGCCGAUGAGUCGGGUUGCUUGAAAGUGCAGCCCUAAGUUGGAGGUAAACUCCUCCAAAGGCUAAAUACUUCCACGAGACCGAUAGCAAACAAGUACCGUGAGGGAAAGUUGCAAAGAACUUUGAAGAGAGAGUUCAAGAGGACGUGAAACCGCUUAGAAGCAAACGGAUGGAGCAGACACUAAGCCUCUUAUAUCCAACUGUUCUUAUACUGUCUUCAGCCGAGCCUGAUCGCGAGACGGUCGUCGGCCGUUAGGUCAGUUAACUACAGUGAAGCUAUGAGGGGCUGCGUCACGACCGAUGGUUUCACUAGCAUAAGGAAAGUUGGAUUCAGCUUGUGGGCUUGCUCGCAUUGCACUUCCUUCCAAUCCGGACCUAGCUGAGCUUUAUAUCGGGUAAUGACCGUACCUGCCUCUUGGCUCAUGCUACUUCGCAUGUUGGUUACGUGCCUCUUAGUCGUGUUUACACGACUAGGUAACCGCUGCUCCUAUUGCGUUGUAGACUUUGAGUUGGUACACAAGGUCAGUGGCGUCCGAGUCUGCCCCCCAUCCGACCCGUCUUGAAACACGG
RNAcentral lists this ribosomal RNA (806 nucleotides) under uncultured fungus. RNAcentral's name for it is "eukaryotic LSU rRNA". It matches the Rfam family "Eukaryotic large subunit ribosomal RNA", at positions 24 to 664 of the family's 3401-position model. Lineage: Eukaryota; Fungi. The record is from RNAcentral.